CUAGUGCCCUCAAACCCAUCUCUGCAUGUCUCCUGGUUUGCAAGUGCAGCACUUAGCCAUGUCCUCGCCGCUCGCCGCACACGACCCCCUUCCUCGCCGCUCUUUCUCUGGUCGUCUCUCGCCGUCGCGGGCUCGCCGUCGGUCCGUCUCUGCUCCCUCGCCGUCACUUCCACCCUCCAUCGUCUGCUGGACACGCGUGUCCAAACGUGUCGGGCAAAGGUUGACCACGUGUCGGAUUUCCGACACGCGUUGACC
This 255-nucleotide long non-coding RNA is filed under the name Eucalyptus grandis. RNAcentral describes it as "long non-coding RNA (EGRA_LNC006925)". The record is from RNAcentral. Lineage: Eukaryota; Viridiplantae; Streptophyta; Magnoliopsida; Myrtales; Myrtaceae.